Molecule: small RNA, 125 nt
Filed under: Marmota monax (woodchuck)
Lineage: Eukaryota; Metazoa; Chordata; Mammalia; Rodentia; Sciuridae
Source: RNAcentral
GCCGGGCAUAGUGACGCAUACCUGUAAUCCCAGCAGCUCUGGAGGUUGAGGCAGGAGGAUCGUAAGUUCAAAGCCAGCCUCAGCAAUGGUGAGGCGCUGUGCAACUCAAUGAGUCCCUGUCUCUA